UUCUCUUCUAUUCGAGAGAGACAACAGCUCUUUUUUUUUUCCUUCAUCACCACCACGCCACUUCCAUUACCACCACAGAUCUACCACCACCAUCCACUACUUCCAUCACCACAAGAAGACCUUCUUCAUAUUCUUUUUCUUCAUUGACAUGUCUAAGUUUUAUGUAUGUUGGGAAUCUAAACUCUAAUGUUAACUGAAACCCUAAAAAUUAUCUCGAUCGAGCUCUAAUUCUACCACUACUACCAACACCUUCUUAUUAUGUUUACAGAAACCCUAAAAAUAGUCACCAGUUGAUUCACGCACAACUCCUUCAACAAUCAACAUCAGGAGAAGUUGGUUUACUCGGUCAACCAACACCUUUCUUAUUGUAUGCUGGUGCUGUUAGUGGUUUGGAGGUGCUGUUGCUGCUACAAGGUGGUGGUAGUGGUGGUCGUCUCUUAACAAUUACAUGGCUGAACAUGUUAAAGCUCAAAGGGACAGCUCGACUGAAACAAAAUUCUUUUUCAGAGAAUAGAUAAGGAUGUUGCUGAAUCAUAUGUGAUGAUACAAUUACUACCGCCUUAUGCAUUCUAAAGUUUGCGGAGAGCACUUCAUUUUCUUCACAAUAUUUGUUUGUUAGCUCAACUCUGGUUCGUUUCCUUGUGCAGUAUGUGGUGGGGAAUGAAUGACUUGUGCAGGAUGUUGGGACCAAAGAUCAAGGUGUCACUGACUUCCUUAAAAAGUUCUACACCACCAACUACUUCUAAAUCUGAGAACAGGACCAUCCAUCCUCCAAUAUUGUUCUGUGUUAGCCAUUAUGAUUCAAAAUUUUAUCGCGUUUUUCUUUUGUUCUUGCACUUCUUGUCUAUUUUGUGAGUUGAGGUAAUUAUUUGGGUCACUCUUAGGUGCCAUGAGAGAAUAUGAAUUGGUAGAUUCUGAUUCAGUUAUUUUCGGUUACGUUCAUGCUUAAAUAUGAAUUAUUAGAAUCAGAUUUUGAAGUGUUUUGUGAAAUGGGUAUUACUGGUAUGUUGAGUUCAAAUUUUUAAUUUCAUUCUUUUAAUUGAAAAUUCCGGUUUGUUUACAUCUUCUAGAUUCUUUUUUGUAGAUUGAAUUCUAGUGGAUUAUAUACCAUUUCCAGGCCUUGAAUGAUUACAGAUGGAUUUACUGUUAGUGGUGGAGUGUGCUGGUGGUGUUUGUGAUGCUGAUGCUGAUGGUGCUGUUAGUGUUAGUUUGGAGGUGAAAUUGUUGGUGUUACUGCUACCUGAAGGUGGUGGUGGUCUCUUAAUAAUUAUAUAAACAUUGAGGGAUUUAUUUGAUAAUUUGCAUGGACAGCGAGAACCACCUGUUUCUUGCAUCAAUGAAUCAUAUGCGGAGGUAGUGAUGUGCGAUCUUAAUCUAAGUUCAGAGCUGAAUUCUGCACUAAUGAAAGUCACAGUCAUUCUUUGAUUUGAAGAACACAAACAAUGAACUCAAAAGUGAAUUUAAAGGACCUUUACGUUAACCAAAAAGUCCAAGAAGAGAAGCUUGCUGCCGGUCAAAGUGUGGGUUGGAUGGAUGGCUGUAAUGUUGAAGACUUAAGAAUUUAGGAAUGAUUAGGAGCCUUGGUUUGUCUCAAACUGAAACUCUUAACAAGAAAUCAGUGAAGAUUCGAAACAAGAAAACAACGAGAAAUGGUACGAUUGGCUAUAAAAGGGGUUGUAAACAAUCUGAAGAAUUAUAUAAAAAUGAUUGGCUAUUCGUGUUUGCUAUUCAUGGAUGCAAUACAACAGAUGUUUUGUUACUGCUGGAAAGCAUUUCUAAAUUUGGCAUGGUUCACCAAGACUUUGAUCAAAGAAUACAGGAAGAAAGGUGAACCAAGGUAUGUAUUCAUAUUUUCUUGAUUGACGCCACACUUGAAACAGAAAGCAUGUUAUAUUUUCACUAAUAUGCUUCAAAACGAAAUGUUUUCACUAAUUAUGGGUGCCAUGCUAGGUAUAGAAUUUGAUAACUCAGGUAUAGGACUUGACCCUAGCCUUAGCCUUGAGUUGAAUCUUAUAUAGGUGUUAAAUGUUAGGGAUUAAGGAUUGUGGUUUUAUUUGACCGAGUUAAUGCAUACAAGUGAUAUUGGAAGCUUAUGGCCUUGCUUAAUUUUCAGUUUAAACUGAUAGAUUAGUCAAGAAGACUGCAAUCCUGAAAUGUUCCCAUGUUAAGUGUAUUUGUGUUUGAACGUUUAGAAGCUCAACCGUAAAAUUGUACUUCAUUAAUCCAUUUUACUAAAUGAAUAUCUACUACCAAUGUUAAUGUGACAUAAUGUUAAAAUUUGACAAUUCUCAUACGGCAAUUAGCUGUGGAUAACCCAACCCUGCAGAUGGAGGUGGCUAUGUUGCAGUAGGUUGUUCCGAAGAAGGACAACUACUCUCAAAGCCGGAAAGUUGCUAUUCAGAAUGUGGGAUCCACUAUUUCCUAAUUAAGUGGAAUAUUUACACAGUUGGCAACAAUGGUUGCACAUCAAGGAGAACUGGUUAUCAGGUCUCUUCUUCCUUCUGCAAGGAGAACAACUCAUAUCCCCCUUGUAAUGCUCCAUUCAGUGUGUCAAGAUACGAGUUAUACAAACACUACUAUUUGUAUUUGGCAUAAACACAUUUCUGCAAGUUUUGUUUGGAACCAGGUUACCGGCAGUCAUUGGUGGUUCUUCUACCUAUAUUGUACUUAUCCUUUGCAUUAUCGGAGACUCAUCUCUACAACGAAUCACUGAACCUCAUGAAAGAUUUUUACACAGUAUGAUGGAAACUCAAGGAGUCCUGAUUGUAGCUGCAAGCUUACAGAUCAUAGUAUCAUACUGGGAUAUAGUCAAUUCUUCGUGAUUGAAUCACAGGUUUUUCAGCCCUCUCGGUAUGGCACCUGUAGUUGGAUUGGUUGGUUUGGGGUUAUUUGAGCGUGUUAACAUGGGUUAAUAUGCUGCAUGAGGUAUGAAUUAUCUUCGUUAUUGUAACCCGCCAAUUGUUAAUUGUGAUUUGUCAUCUAAUCUGCUGGUUAACAAGAACUGGACUGUGAAGGUGAGCAACAUUUUUCUCCCUUUUUGUUACAAAGUAAAAAACACAACCGAGCUUGAGCAGUUAGAAAAGAUUCCAAAAUUCAAGGCUAGGCCAUUGAAUGAAAAGGUGACGAAGCCUCGGGAGUUCCACUUUGCAAUUGAUGAAUGGAUUCCUCCUUGCAAGAACAGUUUUUGAGUUGUUUGACAAGGUACAGACAACAUAAUCACUUUUCUCUUACAACUUUCAUUAAACUCAGAACGACAUCGGAAUGAGCAGCUAUAUUUUGGGGAUAUAUGAAUUGGUCCCUCUAUUUUGUAAGGUGAAGCUAUGUAAAAGAAUUUGAUGUUCAAUAAUGAACUUAGUCCAACUUUUCAUACUUUGAACUAAUAAUUUUAGUCCAGAUUGUAAAUUGAAUUUGAGCUCCAUUUGAGAUAAUCCUUUGUGUAAUUUGAGACCAAUGAAUCAAUGAAUGUUAAAUUGAAUGAUUA
Long non-coding RNA from Papaver somniferum (opium poppy), 3481 nucleotides. RefSeq lists it as uncharacterized. The record is from RefSeq and is a predicted model, not a curated record. The transcript is spliced from 14 exons. NCBI's taxonomy places the organism in Eukaryota, Viridiplantae, Streptophyta, Magnoliopsida, Ranunculales, Papaveraceae.